GACGAACGCUGGCGGCGUGCUUAACACAUGCAAGUCGAACGGAAAGGCCCUGCUUUUGUGGGGUGCUCGAGUGGCGAACGGGUGAGUAACACGUGAGUAACCUGCCCUUGACUUUGGGAUAACUUCAGGAAACUGGGGCUAAUACCGGAUAGGAGCUCCUGCUGCAUGGUGGGGGUUGGAAAGUUUCGGCGGUUGGGGAUGGACUCGCGGCUUAUCAGCUUGUUGGUGGGGUAGUGGCUUACCAAGGCUUUGACGGGUAGCCGGCCUGAGAGGGUGACCGGCCACCUUGGGACUGAGAUAGGGCCCAGACUCCAACGGGAGGCAGCAGUGGGGAAUAUUGCACAAUGGGCGGAAGCCUGAUGCAGCAACGCCGCGUGCGGGAUGACGGCCUUCGGGUUGUAAACCGCUUUCGCCUGUGACGAAGCGUGAGUGACGGUAAUGGGUAAAGAAGCACCGGCUAACUACGUG
RNAcentral lists this ribosomal RNA (468 nucleotides) under uncultured bacterium. RNAcentral's name for it is "partial 16S ribosomal RNA". It matches the Rfam family "Bacterial small subunit ribosomal RNA", at positions 28 to 507 of the family's 1533-position model. The record is from RNAcentral.